This 460-nucleotide ribosomal RNA is filed under the name uncultured bacterium. RNAcentral's name for it is "partial 16S ribosomal RNA". It matches the Rfam family "Bacterial small subunit ribosomal RNA", at positions 338 to 795 of the family's 1533-position model. The record is from RNAcentral.
CCUACGGGAGGCUGCAGUGAGGAAUAUUGGUCAAUGGACGAGAGUCUGAACCAGCCAAGUAGCGUGAAGGAUGACUACCCUAUGGGUUGUAAACUUCUUUUAUAUGGGAAUAAAAUGUUACACGUGUGGGAUUUUGUAUGUACCAUAUGAAUAAGGAUCGGCUAACUCCGUGCCAGCAGCCGCGGUAAUACGGAGGAUCCGAGCGUUAUCCGGAUGUAUUGGGUUUAAAGGGAACGUAGGUGGAUUGUUAAGUCAGUUGAGAAAGUUUGCGGCUCAACCGUAAAAUUGCAGUUGAAACUGGCAGUCUUGAGUACAGUAGAGGUGGGCGGAAUUCGUGGUGUAGCGGUGAAAUGCUUAGAUAUCACGAAGAACUCCGAUUGCGAAGGCAGCUCACUGGACUGCAACUGACACUGAGGCUCGAAAGUGUGGGUAUCAAACAGGAUUAGAUACCCUAGUAGUC